This 497-nucleotide long non-coding RNA is filed under the name Androctonus crassicauda. Lineage: Eukaryota; Metazoa; Arthropoda; Arachnida; Scorpiones; Buthidae. The record is from RNAcentral.
UAAAAAAGAUAUAAAACAGUCCAAUGAUUUUUUCUGCUUCAUUUUAUUUUUAUUCUUAUUAAAACAGGUCUUUUUUUAAUUAAAUAUUUUUUUAGAAUCUCAAGAUUCUUAAGAAUUUCUGAAAGGGAAUCUUGAGAAAUAAAUUAAUUACUAAUUCAAGAAUUCCUGAGUCUUGAGAGAGCAAAAAGUUUGGGAAACCCAAUUACUAUUGCUAUAUGGUUACAUACAUCAUGACUUUUUUGUACAAAGUUAGUUACCUAAGCAUGACCUUACACACAGAUGCAAAUUAUAACAGCUUGCUUUUGUCAUUGUUCUUACCACAAGUCACUAAAAUGCAACCAUCUUGCCCUUGUUUUAUUUUUUAUUUUAGCAUUUUUCAAAGUUUUAUAACAAAUCCUUAUCCUGUCAUAAUGUUUAAGUGCUGUUUAUUUUUGUGCUAUUCUGGAGUGAAUAUAUAAGCAUAAAAUUUUGAAUAUAUAGCUUUGUUUAUAUUAACU